GAUGAACGCUGGCGGCGUGCCUAAUACAUGCAAGUCGAGCGAACAGACGAGGAGCUUGCUCCUCUGACGUUAGCGGCGGACGGGUGAGUAACACGUGGAUAACCUACCUAUAAGACUGGGAUAACUUCGGGAAACCGGAGCUAAUACCGGAUGAUAUAUUGAACCGCAUGGUUCAAUAGUGAAAGACGGUUUUGCUGUCACUUAUAGAUGGAUCCGCGCCGCAUUAGCUAGUUGGUAAGGUAACGGCUUACCAAGGCAACGAUGCGUAGCCGACCUGAGAGGGUGAUCGGCCACACUGGAACUGAGACACGGUCCAGACUCCUACGGGAGGCAGCAGUAGGGAAUCUUCCGCAAUGGGCGAAAGCCUGACGGAGCAACGCCGCGUGAGUGAUGAAGGUCUUCGGAUCGUAAAACUCUGUUAUUAGGGAAGAACAAAUAUGUAAGUAACUAUGCACGUCUUGACGGUACCUAAUCAGAAAGCCACGGCUAACUACGUG
This 497-nucleotide ribosomal RNA is filed under the name uncultured bacterium. Its description in RNAcentral is "partial 16S ribosomal RNA". It matches the Rfam family "Bacterial small subunit ribosomal RNA", at positions 28 to 507 of the family's 1533-position model. The record is from RNAcentral.